Acanthosepion pharaonis is the source of this 108-nucleotide non-coding RNA. The record is from the annotation of a GenBank genome assembly. Lineage: Eukaryota; Metazoa; Mollusca; Cephalopoda; Sepiida; Sepiidae.
ACCAUAUCACAUUGAAACAUUAGUUCCCGUACGAUCAUCGAAGUUAAGUAACGUCGAGUCUGGUCAGUACCAAGAUGGGUGACCGGUUGGGAAUACCUUGUGCUGUAA